This 211-nucleotide unclassified non-coding RNA is filed under the name soil metagenome. Its description in RNAcentral is "partial contains 5.8S ribosomal RNA, internal transcribed spacer 2, and large subunit ribosomal RNA". The record is from RNAcentral.
AACGAGGCCGACCUGCGGCUGAGUUACCUGCGGAAGGAUCAUUACCGAGUUUACAACUCCCAAACCCCUGUGAACAUACCUAUACGUUGCCUCGGCGGAUCAGCCCGCGCCCUGUAAAAAGGGACGGCCCGCCCGAGGACCCUAAACUCUGUUUUUAGUGGAACUUCUGAGUAAAACAAACAAAUAAAUCAAAACUUUCAACAAUGGAUCU